This 334-nucleotide unclassified non-coding RNA is filed under the name soil metagenome. RNAcentral describes it as "partial contains 5.8S ribosomal RNA, internal transcribed spacer 2, and large subunit ribosomal RNA". The stretch from base 1 to 120 matches the Rfam family "5.8S ribosomal RNA", at positions 35 to 154 of the family's 154-position model. The record is from RNAcentral.
GAUGAAGAACGUAGCGAAAUGCGAUAAGUAAUGUGAAUUGCAGAAUUCAGUGAAUCAUCGAAUCUUUGAACGCACAUUGCGCCCGCCAGUAUUCUGGCGAGCAUGCCUGUUCGAGCGUCAUUUCAACCAUCAAGCCCCAGGCUUGUGUUGGAGCCCUGCGGCUGCCGCAGCCUCCCAAAACCAGUGGCGGGCUCGCUAUCACACCGAGUGCAGUAGUUUACUCUUCGCUCAGGGCGUGUGGCGGGUGCUAGCCGUGAAACCCCCAACUUCUCAAGGUUGACCUCGGAUCAGGUAGGAAUACCCGCUGAACUUUAGCAUAUCAAUAAGCGGAGGA